UACCCGCAGCUCAAGUGGUGGUCAUUAUUAUUGGGCCUAAAGCAUCCGUAGCCGGUUCUACAAGUCUUCCGUUAAAUCCAUCUGCUUAACAGAUGGGCUGCGGAAGAUACUAUAGAGCUAGGAGGCGGGAGAGGCAAGCGGUACUCGAUGGGUAGGGGUAAAAUCCGUUGAUCCAUUGAAGACCACCAGUGGCGAAGGCGGCUUGCCAGAACGCGCUCGACGGUGAGGGAUGAAAGCUGGGGGAGCAAACCGG
Molecule: ribosomal RNA, 253 nt
Filed under: uncultured bacterium
Lineage: Bacteria
Description: partial 16S ribosomal RNA
Rfam family: Archaeal small subunit ribosomal RNA
Source: RNAcentral